RNAcentral lists this ribosomal RNA (443 nucleotides) under uncultured bacterium. RNAcentral describes it as "partial 16S ribosomal RNA". It matches the Rfam family "Bacterial small subunit ribosomal RNA", at positions 338 to 795 of the family's 1533-position model. The record is from RNAcentral.
CCUACGGGAGGCAGCAGUGGGGAAUAUUGGGCAAUGGGCGCAAGCCUGACCCAGCAACGCCGCGUGAAGGAAGAAGGCUUUCGGGUUGUAAACUUCUUUUCUGAGGGACGAAGAAAGUGACGGUACCUCAGGAAUAAGCCACGGCUAACUACGUGCCAGCAGCCGCGGUAAUACGUAGUUGGCAAGCGUUCUCCAGAUUUAUUGGGUGUAAAGGGCGUGUAGGCGGGAAAGCACGUCAGAUGUUAAAACUCAGGGCUCAACCCUGAGCCGGCAUUUGAAACUGUUUUUUUUGAGUGCUGGGGAGGCAAUCGGAAUUCCGUGUGUAGCGGUGAAAUGCGGAGAUAUACGGAGGAACACCAGUGACGAAGGCGGAUUGCUGGACAGUAACUGACGCUGAGGCGCGAAAGCGUGGGGAGCAAACAGGAUUAGAUACCCUAGUAGUC